ACUCGUAGACUCCUACGGGAGGCAGCAGUGGGGAAUAUUGCACAAUGGGCGCAAGCCUGAUGCAGCCAUGCCGCGUGUGUGAAGAAGGCCUUCGGGUUGUAAAGCACUUUCAGUCGUGAGGAAGGUAGUGUAGUUAAUAGCUGCAUUAUUUGACGUUAGCGACAGAAGAAGCACCGGCUGGGGGAACUCCGUGCCAGCAGCCGCGGUAAUACGGAGGGUGCGAGCGUUAAUCGGAAUUACUGGGCGUAAAGCGCAUGCAGGUGGUUUGUUAAGUCAGAUGUGAAAGCCCGGGGCUCAACCUCGGAAUUGCAUUUGAAACUGGCAGACUAGAGUACUGUAGAGGGGGGUAGAAUUUCAGGUGUAGCGGUGAAAUGCGUAGAGAUCUGAAGGAAUACCGGUGGCGAAGGCGGCCCCCUGGACAGAUACUGACACUCAGAUGCGAAAGCGUGGGGAGCAAACAGGAUUAGAUACCCUGGUAG
RNAcentral lists this ribosomal RNA (479 nucleotides) under uncultured bacterium. RNAcentral's name for it is "bacterial SSU rRNA". It matches the Rfam family "Bacterial small subunit ribosomal RNA", at positions 327 to 793 of the family's 1533-position model. The record is from RNAcentral.